AGUGGCGGACGGGUGAGUAAUGCAUAGGAAUCUGCCUUUAGGACUGGGGUAACUUGGGGAAACUCAAGCUAAUACCGGAUAAUAACUAAGGUUUAAAGUGGGGGACCUUCGGGCCUCGCGUCUAAAGAGGAGCCUAUGUUGGAUUAGCUAGUUGGUGGGGUAAAGGCUCACCAAGGCGACGAUCCAUAGCUGGUCUGAGAGGAUGAUCAGCCACACUGGGACUGAGACACGGCCCAGACUCCUACGGGAGGCAGCAGUGGGGAAUAUUGGACAAUGGGGGAAACCCUGAUCCAGCAAUGCCGCGUGUGUGAAGAAGGCCUGCGGGUUGUAAAGCACUUUCAGUAGUGAGGAAGGCUGGGUAGUUAAUAGCUGCUCAGAUUGACGUUAGCUACAGAAGAAGCACCGGCUAACUCUGUGCCAGCAGCCGCGGUAAUACAGAGGGUGCGAGCGUUAAUCGGAAUUACUGGGCGUAAAGAGUAUGUAGGUUGUAAAGUAAGUUAGGUGUGAAAUACCCGGGCUCAACCUGGGAACUGCGCUUGAUACUGCUUUACUAGAGUAUUAGAGAGGAUAGUGGAAUUUCCGGUGUAGUGGUGAAAUACGUAGAUAUCGGAAGGAACAUCAGUGGCGAAGGCGGCUAUCUGGAUAAAUACUGA
This 653-nucleotide ribosomal RNA is filed under the name uncultured bacterium. RNAcentral's name for it is "bacterial SSU rRNA". It matches the Rfam family "Bacterial small subunit ribosomal RNA", at positions 94 to 743 of the family's 1533-position model. The record is from RNAcentral.